GUGGCAGCCGCCGCGGUAAAACCAGCACCUCAAGUGGUCAGGAUGAUUAUUGGGCCUAAAGCAUCCGUAGCCGGCUCUGUUAGUUUUCGGUUAAAUCCAUAUGCUCAACAUAUGGGCCGCCGGGAAUACUACAAAGCUAGGGAGUGGGAGAGGUAGACGGUACUCCGUAGGAAGGGGUAAAAUCCUUUGAUCUAUGGAUGACCACCAGUGGCGAAGGCGGUCUACCAGAACACGUUCGACGGUGAGGGAUGAAAGCUGGGGGAGCAAACCGGAUUAGAUACCCGGGUAGUCCCAGCUGUAAACUAUGCAAACUCAGUGAUGCAUUGGCUUGUGGCCAGUGCAGUGCCGCAGAGAAGUCGUUAAGUUUGCCGCCUGGGAAGUACGUACGCAAGUAUGAAACUUAAAGGAAUUGGCGGGGGAGCACCACAAGGGGUGAAGCCUGCGGUUCAAUUGGAGUCAACGCCAGAAAUCUUACCCGGAGAGACAGCAGAAUGAAGGUCAAGCUGAAGACUUUACCAGACAAGCUGAGAAGUGGUGCAUGGCCGUCGCCAGCACGUGCCGUGAGGUGUCCUGUUAAGUCAGGUAACGAGCGAGAUCCUUGCCUCUAGUUGCCACCAUUACUCUCAGGAGUUGUGGGGCGAAUUAGCGGGACUGCCGUAGUUAAUACGGAGGAAGGAGAGGGCCACGGCAGGUCAGUAUGCCCUGAAACUCUGGGGCCACACGCGGGCUGCAAUGRUAGUGACAAUGUGUUCCGAAUCCGAAAGGAGGAGGUAAUCCAAAAACGCUACCACAGUUAUGACUGAGGGCUGCAACUCGCCCUCACGAAUAUGGAAUCCCUAGUAACUGCGUGUCAUUACCGCGCGGUGAAUACGUCCCUGCUCCUUGCACACACCGCCCGUC
This 900-nucleotide ribosomal RNA is filed under the name uncultured archaeon. RNAcentral describes it as "bacterial SSU rRNA". It matches the Rfam family "Archaeal small subunit ribosomal RNA", at positions 455 to 1353 of the family's 1478-position model. The record is from RNAcentral.